CCUACGGGAGGCAGCAGUGAGGAAUAUUGGUCAAUGGACGAGAGUCUGAACCAGCCAAGUAGCGUGAAGGAUGACUGCCCUAUGGGUUGUAAACUUCUUUUAUAUGGGAAUAAAAUGUUCCACGUGUGGGAUUUUGUAUGUACCAUAUAAAUAAGGAUCGGCUAACUCCGUGCCAGCAGCCGCGGUAAUACGGAGGAUCCGAGCGUUAUCCGGAUUUAUUGGGUUUAAAGGGAGCGUAGGUGGAUUGUUAAGUCAGUUGUGAAAGUUUGCGGCUCAACCGUAAAAUUGCAGUUGAAACUGGCAGUCUUGAGUACAGUAGAGGUGAGCGGAAUUCGUGGUGUAGCGGUGAAAUGCUUAGAUAUCACGAAGAACUCCGAUUGCGAAGGCAGUUCACUGGACUGCAACUGACACUGAGGCUCGAAAGUGUGGGUAUCAAACAGGAUUAGAUACCCCGGUAGUC
Molecule: ribosomal RNA, 460 nt
Filed under: uncultured bacterium
Lineage: Bacteria
Description: partial 16S ribosomal RNA
Rfam family: Bacterial small subunit ribosomal RNA
Source: RNAcentral